This 468-nucleotide ribosomal RNA is filed under the name uncultured bacterium. Its description in RNAcentral is "partial 16S ribosomal RNA". It matches the Rfam family "Bacterial small subunit ribosomal RNA", at positions 28 to 507 of the family's 1533-position model. The record is from RNAcentral.
GACGAACGCUGGCGGCGUGCUUAACACAUGCAAGUCGAACGGAAAGGCCCUGCUUUUGUGGGGUGCUCGAGUGGCGAACGGGUGAGUAACACGCGAGUAACCUGCCCUUGACUUUGGGAUAACUUCAGGAAACUGGGGCUAAUACCGGAUAGGAGCUCCUGCUGCAUGGUGGGGGUUGGAAAGUUUCGGCGGUUGGGGAUGGACUCGCGGCUUAUCAGCUUGUUGGUGGGGUAGUGGCUUACCAAGGCUUUGACGGGUAGCCGGCCUGAGAGGGUGACCGGCCACAUUGGGACUGAGGUACGGCCCAGACUCCUACGGGAGGCAGCAGUGGGGAAUAUUGCACAAUGGGCGGAAGCCUGAUGCAGCAACGCCGCGUGCGGGAUGACGGCCUUCGGGUUGUAAACCGCUUUCGCCUGUGACGAAGCGUGAGUGACGGUAAUGGGUAAAGAAGCACCGGCUAACUACGUG